Molecule: long non-coding RNA, 267 nt
Filed under: Monodelphis domestica (gray short-tailed opossum)
Lineage: Eukaryota; Metazoa; Chordata; Mammalia; Didelphimorphia; Didelphidae
Description: lncRNA (ENSMODG00000035089.2)
Source: RNAcentral
CAAGUGUGGUGCUGAGGUCCCCGGGAUUUCCUGAGACUCUUUCCAGGGAUUUUUGAGAUCUAUAAUUUCCUUGUCAUUAGGUAAUCUUCACUCAAUGCCAGAAUGUCAAGUGAUAAAUGUACAGGUGAUAAUCAGAGAAUUCAGUCUAUUGAAUAGAAGAAGAAAGAAGGAAAAAGAAAUGGAAAAGAAGAGGAGGUCCUUCCAUUUGAUGAGGUUUGAGGCAGAGUCCUUGAGAGAAGAUGAGCACCAAAUCUCAGCCACUUCUCC